AGCUUGCUAAUAAUUCUCUAGUGGCGCACGGGUGAGUAACACGUGAGUACCUGCCCCCAAGAGUGGGAUAGCCCCGGGAAACUGGGAUUAAUACCGCAUAAAGCAAUAAAGCAGCAAUGCGCUUGGGGAUGGGCUCGCGUCCUAUUAGUUAGUUGGUGAGGUAACGGCUCACCAAGGCGAUGACGGGUAGCCGGUCUGAGAGGAUGUCCGGCCACACUGGAACUGAGACACGGUCCAGACACCUACGGGUGGCAGCAGUCGAGAAUCAUUCACAAUGGGGGAAACCCUGAUGGUGCGACGCCGCGUGGGGGAUAAGGUCUUCGGAUUGUAAACCCCUGUCAUGUGGGACAUUAAAAGAUAGUACCACAAGAGGAAGAGACGGCUAACUCUGUGCCAGCAGCCGCGGUAAUACAGAGGUCUCAAGCGUUGUUCGGAAUCACUGGGCGUAAAGCGUGCGUAGGCGGUUUCGUAAGUCGUGUGUGAAAGGCGGGGGCUCAACCCCCGGACUGCACAUGAUACUGCGAGACUAGAGUAAUGGAGGGGGAACCGGAAUUCUCGGUGUAGCAGUGAAAUGCGUAGAUAUCGAGAGGAACACUCGUGGCGAAGGCGGGUUCCUGGACAUUAACUGACGCUGAGGCACGAAGGCCAGGGGAGCGAAAGGGAUUAGAUACCCCUGUAGUCCUGGC
RNAcentral lists this ribosomal RNA (686 nucleotides) under uncultured bacterium. RNAcentral describes it as "bacterial SSU rRNA". It matches the Rfam family "Bacterial small subunit ribosomal RNA", at positions 77 to 800 of the family's 1533-position model. The record is from RNAcentral.